This 497-nucleotide ribosomal RNA is filed under the name uncultured bacterium. RNAcentral describes it as "partial 16S ribosomal RNA". It matches the Rfam family "Bacterial small subunit ribosomal RNA", at positions 28 to 507 of the family's 1533-position model. The record is from RNAcentral.
GAUGAACGCUGGCGGCGUGCCUAAUACAUGCAAGUCGAGCGAACGGACGAGAAGCUUGCUUCUCUGAUGUUAGCGGCGGACGGGUGAGUAACACGUGGAUAACCUACCUAUAAGACUGGGAUAACUUCGGGAAACCGUAGCUAAUACCGGAUAAUAUUUUGAACCGCAUAGUUCAAAAGUGAAAGACGGUCUUGCUGUCACUUAUAGAUGGAUCCGCGCUGCAUUAGCUAGUUGGUAAGGUAACGGCUUACCAAGGCAACGAUGCAUAGCCGACCUGAGAGGGUGAUCGGCCACACUGGAACUGAGACACGGUCCAGACUCCUAAGGGAGGCAGCAGUAGGGAAUCUUCCGCAAUGGGCGAAAGCCUGACGGAGCAACGCCGCGUGAGUGAUGAAGGUCUUCGGAUCGUAAAACUCUGUUAUUAGGGAAGAACAUAUGUGUAAGUAACUGUGCACAUCUUGACGGUACCUAACCAGAAAGCCACGGCUAACUACGUG